Molecule: long non-coding RNA, 1672 nt
Filed under: Haliotis rufescens (red abalone)
Lineage: Eukaryota; Metazoa; Mollusca; Gastropoda; Lepetellida; Haliotidae
Description: uncharacterized LOC125376862
Source: RNAcentral
AUAUACACAAAGCUUCUUUAAAUUGCGAGAUUUGUUUAAAGCCGCUGUGAGCAGUAUUUCAGUUAUAUCAUGGCAUGUCAGCGUGACAGUCAUUGUGAGUGUGUUUGACACAUAGAAUGUCUUCAUUUUGAAUGUUUACAUUUCAAUAACAUUGAGAGGGCAUCAUGAGUGAUUGUUUGUGAUGUAAUGAGCGAAUGUUUGCAUUCAAUUAUCAAUUGUCAACUUCCGUUUGAUGUAUUCACUAACUCCAACGCUUGUCGCCCUUAAUCUCUCUGCUUUAUUUAUCAUUUGUACUCUCACUUGUCUUACCAUUCAUAAAUGUUGACAAUGCACGUUUAAGAAAUAUUUCCAUCGUAUAUCAUGUUUGCCUUACAAAACCGUGUUUUCUGUUCCUAUAGAAUAUUUACAUGUGAAUAGUUAAAUCAAGUAAAAGACUUUUGUUGUUGAACUGUUACCAAUAAUCAGUCAAAUUGAUAAUAUUGACUUUUAAAUAUUAAUACUAUUCAACUUUAUUUUCUUCUCGCCACAACCAUCUUGUCCUUUAGAAUGUACAGGUGUUGCUGCAAAGGUAAUAUGAUUCCAUACACUUAUAGUACACCCUUUAUAAGCAUAGUUUGUUGGUAUUAUUCCGACCGUUUACAUUAUUAAAAUAAUCUGACUCGUAUAUUCAAUACUGUGUCUACAAUCAGAUAUCAAAUAAUGUGAACAUUGUUGUACAGUGGAACCCUUAAAUACCAGGCGAUGAAAUAUUCGUGUUAACAAAACCUUUGGUUGGGAGUUAUGUCGGGUCGACACGUCCACUUGUCUGCUGGCCCGAGACUGGUGAUAGAUUGUAAGGACUGGAAUGAAUGGGUUGUAAAAUAACUCGUGUCAAGAAGACGGGAUUUACAGAUUGACGGGGUCCGGACUGAUGGGUGUCCGGUUUGAUAUGGGUCAGGUCUCUCGGGUACAUGUCUGAAGUGACAUGGCAGUAAGUUGUUUUUAAGACAUUAUGGGCUAUGUUCACGUGCCCUGUAGAACGAUAAGGAUUCACAGAUUUUAUACAUUAAAUUCAGUUAUCUGUUGAUCAAAGUCCCCUUCUUUCGGAGUAAUUGCUAUAUGUUUAACAUUGUGUUGAUAUUUUAGUUUCUCCAAGACAUAUGAGCUUGAAAAUCGAAAUUUGUGAAAUGGCUUAACCUCUGGACACUGAUGUACACUUGCUGUGGACUUGACGAUGUGAAACCGUGUCUCAAGGAAUGUGAUUCCCUUCCAUGCUCAUUGUUUGUAGUUUUGAUCCAAGCGUACAAUAUUGAUGCAUUUCUAUGUUAUGUUUGUUUAAUUGCUUGCUUUUUUGUUGUUUAACGCCGCACGCGACCAGACAAUCCAGUGAUUGCCACCAUGAACAUCUGUCUACGCAAUUUGAAUACGAGGGUAUUCAUCAACCCACUCAGCGAGCCUUACUACCGUUGCCUUUUACGACCAGCAUUGCUCGCUGAAGACCAUUCUAUCCCGGGUCUACACUUGGGAUUCUCCAAGACACAAGAGCUUGAAGAUCGAAAGUUGUGAAAUGGCCUAAACCUCUGGACAAUGAUGUACACUUGCUUUGGACACGGAUUGUGACCGUUUCCCCCAUUCAUGUUGAUUAUGUGUUGUUUCAUUCUAACUGUAUAACAAUGAAGCAUGUCUUUGUGUA